RNAcentral lists this unclassified non-coding RNA (2582 nucleotides) under Amphibalanus amphitrite. RNAcentral's name for it is "dipeptidyl peptidase 3-like, transcript variant X22". The record is from RNAcentral. Lineage: Eukaryota; Metazoa; Arthropoda; Thecostraca; Balanomorpha; Balanidae.
GUGUGGGGCGCGGUGCAGGUGGAUAGCUGCCCGUGCUCGUAGAUCUGUGGUCGGGAGACGGCCGAUUUUUCCAUUGUGUGGCGGUAGUGAGGAUAAGUGUUGGCUCGCGCGCGGCUGCUGUUCCGGAGAGGAUAUGUCGUCCAAAUACAUCCUGCCCAACAACCAGCCGUUCUCGCGGCUCGACUGUGAUGUGGCCUUCGGCGGACUGACGUCCAAGCAGAAGUUAUACGCGCAUCACAUCGCGCAGGCCUCCUGGAAGGGCAGCCUGAUCGUGCUGCUUCAGACGUCUCCGGAGUCUCCACUGGCGUUUGUCCUGCUCCACCGAGUGUUCCGUCAACAGACCUGUGAUGAACUGAAGGCGGUGGCGCUGGAAAAGUGCGGCUUCACCGAGGAUGACUGGAAGGCGUUCCUGGUGUACAGCAGCUCUAUCUACUCCGAUAUGGGCAACUACCGCGACUUCGGCGACACUAAGAAGGUGCCAGGGGUGGCUCAGGAGAAGUUUGCCGCUCUGGUGCGCGCCUCGCGGGCCUACGAGACCGACAGCAAGGCCAUGGAACGACUAUUGGACGGCUGCCUGGCGCGACUCUACACACUGAACGACAGCGUGGCGCAGCUCGGUCUCGGGGACAAGGGAGUAACUACGUACUUCUCCGCCAACUGCACCGAGGAAGACGCCGAGAAGGUCAAACAGUACAUGAAGCACAAAAACCUGGAGCCCUACAACAACCGACUAUUCAAGACGGUCGUCAAUGGUGUUAACCAUUACGAGAUUCGGUUGGCGUCUGUGCUUAGCGACAGUGACCCGGCGCUCACCAGCGGCCCCGAGGAGUUCCAGGGGGCCAAGUUCAGCGUCACGCGCGGCGACUACUCGCCGCUACUCGCCAUGGUCGUGGAGGAACUCAAGGAGGCACGAAAGCACGCGGCCAACCCCGAGGAGGAAGGUAUGCUCUCCGAGUACAUCAAGAGCUUCACCAGUGGCUCUCUGGCGGCGCACAAGGACGGCAGUCGGCACUGGAUCAAAAACAAGGGACCGGCCGUCGAAACCUACAUCGGCUUCAUCGAGACGUACCGCGACCCGACCGGCAUGCGCGCCGAGUGGGAGGGUUUCGCCGCCAUGGUGAACGGUCCGAUGAGCGAGAAGUUCGGCCGGUUGGUGAAUGCCGCCGAGACCAUCCUGCCCCGUCUGCCCUGGCCAGAGACGUACGAGAAGGACCGUUUCCUGAAGCCGGACUUCACCAGUCUGGACGUGCUGGCGUUCGCGGGGAGCGGCGUGCCGGCCGGCAUCAACAUUCCAAACUACGACGAGAUUCGCCAGGAGGAGGGCUUCAAGAACGUCUCGCUGGGGAACGUCAUCAUGGCGGCGUACUCGGCAGCCGUGCUGCCCUUCCUGGGCACAGAGGACGCAGAGCUGAUGCGACAGUACCGCACACAGGCCUUCGAGGUCCAGGUCGGCCUGCACGAGCUGUUUGGCCACGGCAGCGGUAAGCUGUUUCAGAAGGACAAGGAUGGCAAACUCAACUACGACGCGGCUGUGGUGAAACACACUGAGACCAAUGAACCGAUCUCGAGCUGCUACUCGCCGGGCGAGACGUACGACAGUAUGUUUACCGACCUGGGCUCGUCAUACGAGGAGUGUCGCGCAGAGUGUGUCGGACUGUACCUCUCCCUAGAGGAGGAUGUCAUGGACAUCUUUUCGGUGGCCGAGUCGCUGCGGCCCACGCUCGUCUACGUCAACUGGCUCAGCCUGCUCUACAACGGGCUGGCCAAGGCGCUCGAGAUGUACUCCACAGAGACCAAAAAGUUCAUGCAGGUAGGCAGGCCGGGUCAGGUCGGGCCGGCCGGUGGGAGGGCGGGGCCCCUGGUCCCCGGUGCGGCGCGGUGACUGGCCCCGUCUGCAGGCUGUUUGACUGUCCGGGCGAACACGGACGGCUGGUGACAUACGUCAACUGGGUGGAUAACCUGUGGGACGGCUUCGCCAAGUGUCUGGAACAGUACGAUACGGCCACUGGACGGUUCAUGCAGGCACACAGCAGAGCGCGGUACGUGAUCCUGCGGGUUCUGCUGGAGCACGGCGAGGGCGUCGUUGACAUCAAAGAGGUCAAGGACGCCGACGGCAAGCCCGACCUGCUGAUGACCGUAGACAAGGAGAAGAUCUACACCUCCGGCAAAAAGGCCAUCGGCGACUUCCUGCGCAAACUCCAGGUGUACAAGGCGACGGCGGACGUUCCGGCGGCGCGCGCCAUGUUUGACCACUACUCGGAGGUGCCAGAGAGCGGGCCGCACCCGUUCGCCAACUGGAUACCCAUCAUCCUGGAGAAGAAGCAGCCGCGCCGGUUCCUCGUGCAGGCGCACACAGAGCUCAAAGGGGAGGACGUGGCGCUGCACCAGUACGAGCCGUCAGCCGAGGGUCUGAUCCAGUCGUUUGUGGCGCGCUUCCCGGACCCUGUGAUCGAGGACCGGCUGUUGGAGCUCCACCAGAAGGACGCCGCCCACUUCCCCUGAACGGCCACAUCCUCUCCGACCCGCCGCCGCCGCCCCCGUCCGCUGUGAUGACCGUCCAAUACACGGUCAGUCCAAUCAGA